Molecule: long non-coding RNA, 202 nt
Filed under: Malus domestica (apple)
Lineage: Eukaryota; Viridiplantae; Streptophyta; Magnoliopsida; Rosales; Rosaceae
Description: long non-coding RNA (MDOM_LNC000807)
Source: RNAcentral
GGGGCAUCUUCCUCAUUUUAUAGGCAAAUUAGCCCGACUGCAGUGACUUUACUCUUGCCCGAAAGCACUUGGAGGGUAGUGACUUGUAUUACCACUGAAAACUACUUUUUGGCUAAUUGUGAGUUAGUCCCCAUCACUUAACAUUUUAAAUUAUAGGCACCUGGCCUAUUCAUUAAUGGGAAGGUGCCAAUUUGUCUCUAGG